CUGGGGAUGGGAUGGGCGAAGCCUGAUCCAGCCAUUCCGCGUGAGUGAAGAAGGCCUUCGGGUUGUAAAGCUCUUUCGCAAGGGAAGAAACGAUGCAGUCGAAUAAACUGUGUUAAUGACGGUACCUUGAUAAGAAGCACCGGCUAACUACGUGCCAGCAGCCGCGGUAAU
This 171-nucleotide ribosomal RNA is filed under the name uncultured beta proteobacterium. RNAcentral describes it as "partial 16S ribosomal RNA". It matches the Rfam family "Bacterial small subunit ribosomal RNA", at positions 355 to 524 of the family's 1533-position model. Lineage: Bacteria; Pseudomonadati; Pseudomonadota; Betaproteobacteria. The record is from RNAcentral.